RNAcentral lists this ribosomal RNA (813 nucleotides) under Xylographa parallela. RNAcentral's name for it is "eukaryotic LSU rRNA". It matches the Rfam family "Eukaryotic large subunit ribosomal RNA", at positions 86 to 920 of the family's 3401-position model. The record is from RNAcentral. Lineage: Eukaryota; Fungi; Ascomycota; Lecanoromycetes; Baeomycetales; Xylographaceae.
ACGGCGAGUGAAGCGGCAACAGCUCAAAUUUGAAAUCUGGCCUCACGGUCCGAGUUGUAAUUUGCAGAGGAUGUCUCGGGCGCGAUACCGGUCUAAGUUCCUUGGAACAGGACGUCACAGAGGGUGAGAAUCCCGUACGUGACCGGUGGUCAACCCCAUGUGAGGCUCCUUCGACGAGUCGAGUUGUUUGGGAAUGCAGCUCUAAAUGGGUGGUAAAUUUCAUCUAAAGCUAAAUAUUGGCCAGAGACCGAUAGCGCACAAGUAGAGUGAUCGAAAGAUGAAAAGCACUUUGGAAAGAGAGUUAAAAAGUACGUGAAAUUGUUGAAAGGGAAGCGCUUGCAACCAGACUUGCCCGCGGGUGAUCAACCGUCCUUCGGGGCGGUGCACUCGCCCGCGAUCAGGCCAGUAUCGGUUUCAGCAGCCGGACAAAGACUUCGGGAACGUAGCUCCUCUCGGGGAGUGUUAUAGCCCGUCGUGUAAUACGGUUAGUUGGGACCGAGGACCGCGCUUCGGCUAGGAUACUGGCGUAAUGGUUGUCAGCGACCCGUCUUGAAACACGGACCAAGGAGUCUACCAUCUAUGCGAGUGUUUGGGUGUUAAACCCAUGCGCGUAAUGAAAGUGAACGGAGGUGGGAACCCUUCGGGGGGCACCAUCGACCGAUCCUGAUGUCUUCGGAUGGAUUUGAGUACGAGCAUAGCUGGUGGGACCCGAAAGAUGGUGAACUAUGCGUGAAUAGGGUGAAGCCAGAGGAAACUCUGGUGGAGGCUCGCAGCGGUUCUGACGUGCAAAUCGAUCGUCAAAUUUGCGUAUAG